GUAGGUGGCAAGCGUUGUCCGGAAUUAUUGGGCGUAAAGCGCGCGCAGGUGGUUCUUUAAGUCUGAUGUGAAAGCCCCCGGCUCAACCGGGGAGGGUCAUUGGAAACUGGGGAACUUGAGUGCAGGAGAGGAAAGUGGAAUUCCACGUGUAGCGGUGAAAUGCGUAGACAUGUGGAGGAACACCAGUGGCGAAGGCGACUUUCUGGCCUGUAACUGACACUGAGGCGCGAAAGCGUGGGGAGCAAACAGGGAUUAGAUACCCUGGUAGUCCACGCCGUAAACGAUGAGUGCUAAGUGUUGGGGGGGUUUCCCGCCCCUCAGUGCUGCAGCUAACGCAUUAAGCACUCCGCCUGGGGAGUACGGUCGCAAGACUG
RNAcentral lists this ribosomal RNA (374 nucleotides) under uncultured organism. RNAcentral describes it as "partial 16S ribosomal RNA". It matches the Rfam family "Bacterial small subunit ribosomal RNA", at positions 527 to 896 of the family's 1533-position model. The record is from RNAcentral.